GUGAGGAAUAUUGGUCAAUGGACGAGAGUCUGAACCAGCCAAGUCGCGUGAAGGAAGACGGUUCUAUGAAUUGUAAACUUCUUUUGUGCAGGAAUAAAGUGGGUUACGUGUAACCUUUUGUAUGUACUGUACGAAUAAGGAUCGGCUAACUCCGUGCCAGCAGCCGCGGUAAUACGGAGGAUCCGAGCGUUAUCCGGAUUUAUUGGGUUUAAAGGGUGCGUAGGUGGAUUGAUAAGUCAGCGGUGAAAGUUUGCAGCUUAACUGUAAAAUUGCCGUUGAAACUGUCGGUCUUGAGCGCAAAUGAGGUAGGCGGAAUGUGUUGUGUAGCGGUGAAAUGCUUAGAUAUAACACAGAACUCCGAUUGCGAAGGCAGCUUACUGGGAUGCAACUGACACUGAUGCACGAAAGCGUGGGUAUCAAACAGGAUUAGAAACCCCAGUAGUCC
RNAcentral lists this ribosomal RNA (445 nucleotides) under uncultured bacterium. Its description in RNAcentral is "partial 16S ribosomal RNA". It matches the Rfam family "Bacterial small subunit ribosomal RNA", at positions 354 to 796 of the family's 1533-position model. The record is from RNAcentral.